GACGAACGCUGGCGGCGUGCCUAAUACAUGCAAGUAGAACGCUGAAGGAGGAGCUUGCUUCUCUGGAUGAGUUGCGAACGGGUGAGUAACGCGUAGGAAACCUGCCUGGUAGCGGGGGAUAACUAUUGGAAACGAUAGCUAAUACCGCAUAAUAGUAGAUGUUGCAUGACAUUUGCUUAAAAGGUGCAAUUGCAUCACUACCAGAUGGACCUGCGUUGUAUUAGCUAGUUGGUGGGGUAACGGCUCACCAAGGCGACGAUACAUAGCCGACCUGAGAGGGUGAUCGGCCACACUGGGACUGAGACACGGCCCAGACUCCUACGGGAGGCAGCAGUAGGGAAUCUUCGGCAAUGGACGGAAGUCUGACCGAGCAACGCCGCGUGAGUGAAGAAGGUUUUCGGAUCGUAAAGCUCUGUUGUAAGAGAAGAACGAGUGUGAGAGUGGAAAGUUCACACUGUGACGGUAUCUUACCAGAAAGGGACGGCUAACUACGUG
Molecule: ribosomal RNA, 495 nt
Filed under: uncultured bacterium
Lineage: Bacteria
Description: partial 16S ribosomal RNA
Rfam family: Bacterial small subunit ribosomal RNA
Source: RNAcentral